UGGGGUGGUUGAGAGCUGUUUGAAUCAGAUUUUACAACAGCUCUAGUAGUGCUGUGUGUUUUCACAGACUCGUUGGGAAGGAUUUGUUUUUCUUUUCUUUCCUUUUUUCUUCUUUCUUUUGUUUUACUUGGCCUGGACUCUAAUUUUGGAAUUAAAAUAAAAUAACAAUUAAAGCGCCGCAAUUAUCCCCUGGAAUCCUUCAUUAGAGAUUCCUUACCCCUCUUUACAUGUAACCUCUCCCGUUAUCUCCAAGGCAGCAGCUGGGCGA
Molecule: long non-coding RNA, 268 nt
Filed under: Linum usitatissimum (flax)
Lineage: Eukaryota; Viridiplantae; Streptophyta; Magnoliopsida; Malpighiales; Linaceae
Description: long non-coding RNA (LUSI_LNC002589)
Source: RNAcentral